CUAAUUAUUUAAACAACAGAACUAAUGACUACCGUGUUGCUUUAUUUUCAAAUAAAUGUAUAUUAAAUAUUUAUAAAAUCACACUGGCAUAACUGUUCUUUAUAAUAUUCCAAUAAAGAAAUAAACCUACCUCGAGUAGGUUGGGGUCUCCUUUCGUUUCCGGUAAAUCUUGAGAUACCAGGAAAGACUCGCUUUUCCCACAGCUUUCUCCGCUGAGGAGCGUGUCGGCAUAGUUGGGCUGCGGGAAGAUCACGUGACUCUCCCGGGAGUCCGCCCUGAGGGAGACCUCCUGGGAAUAGGUCUGCAGGAAAGUGCGCACCCCAUCCACGCCCACAAAGUGCGUGGCGGGCACGCCAGCCAAUCCAACCCCCGCAGCCUGGAGCAGACGGGACGAGUGCCAGCGCCUCAGCCUGAGUCCCAGCAGCACGAUCACAAAGGCCAGAAAGAUGCAGGAGACUGCAGCCACCGCCACCACCAGGUACAGCGUGAGGUCAGAAUCGUCUGGGUCGGCGGCUGUCCUGAUGCUGCCCAGAUCGGCCAGGACGUCUGGGAUGUUGUCAGCUACGGCCACGGUGAGCGUGACGGUGGCCGAGAGAGGGGGCUGGCCGUGGUCUUGCACAGCCACCACCAGGCUUUGCUUGAGCGCAUCUCUGUCCAGCAGGGCCCGUGCAGUGCGCACCUCGCCCGUGUGCAGCCCCACCGUGAAGAGCCCUGGUUCGCUGGCCUUGAGUAGACGGUAGGACAGCCAGGCGUUCUGGCCAGAGUCUCUGUCCACCGCCACCACCUUGGUCACCAGGUAUCCGGGCUCUGCGGAUCGGGGCGCCAGCUCCACGCCUGUGGAACCAUCAGUAGGGAGAGCGGGAUACAGGAUUUCUGGAGCAUUGUCGUUCUGGUCCAGCACGAAUAUGCUCAGUGACACAUUGCUGCUGAGGGGUGGGUUCCCACUGUCACUGGCUGUCACCAAUAGCUGCAGGUCUCUAACCUGCUCGUAGUCAAAGGAACGGAGAGCAUACAGGACACCGGUGUCGGAAUUGAUGGAGACGUAAGUGGAUAGAGGCGCCCCCUGGAUGGUAUCCUCAGUCAGUGCGAAAGUGAUGUGGGCGUUCUGGAUGCUGUCGGGAUCCUGGGCGGUCACACAGAAGAUGGAAGCUCCCCUGGGGUUGUUUUCCGGAAUGUAGGCUGAAUAGGAGGCCUGACUGAAAGCAGGUGGGUUGUCAUUGAUGUCUGCAACAUGCAGAGUGAUAUGAAUGUUCGUAGACAGUGGGGGGCUUCCUCCAUCUGUGGCUCUGAGAGUGAUGUUAUAUUCAGACACCUGUUCACGAUCCAGAGAUCUGGCUGUCACUAAGCGGUAAUACUGGUCUAUUGAUUUUUCUAAAUUAAAUGGCACAUUUCCCAGGACAAAAACUGUGACUUGUCCAUUUUGCCCAGAAUCUCGGUCAUGCACAUUGAUAAGGGCAAUUUCUCUUCCAGCAGUAGCCUCUUCUGGGACUGAUUCAGUAAGAGAAGUGAUUGUUACUUCUGGGGCAUUGUCAUUCACAUCCAGAACUGUGACUAAAAUCUUAGCUCUUGAAAGGAGACCAGGUCCAUCUUGUGCUUCAAUUUUAAUUUCAUAGAACAUAGCAUCCUCAUAAUCUAGACUUUUUAAUAUUGAUAUAUCUCCAGUCACUGAAUUGAGAUAAAAAAUCUCAGCGACUUUCCCAGGCAUUUUAUCUAGAAUAUAGGACACUUGAGCAUUGAAUCCUUCAUCAGGGUCAGUGGCAUUCACUGUGAGCAGUGUGGUACCCACUGGCAAGUUCUCUUGAAUACUUAAUUGAUACUCAGAUUGAGUAAAUACUGGUGGGUUGUCAUUUGCAUCCAAAACUAUCACUUGGAUGUACAAGUUGCCAGAGUGGACAGGAUUCCCACCAUCAGAAGCAAUGAGGACAAGCUGAUGAACUUUCUUUUGUUCACGGUCCAGAGCCCUCUCCAACACCAGCUCUGGGUACUUUGUCCCAUCAGAGACAUGCUUCACAGUCAGAGAAAAGUAGUCAUUGGGGUGGAGAUGGUAGUUCUGAAGGGAGUUCAUGCCCACAUCUGGGUCAAAUGCAGUCUUAAGUGGAAAUCGAGUUCCAGAAGCCGCUAGUUCGCCAAUUUUUAUUUCCAAUUUCUCUGUUAGAAAAUCAGGAGCAUUAUCAUUAAUGUCUUUAAUUUCUAUUUCUACUUCAAAAAUUUUCAAUUUGUCUUCUACAAGGACGUUAAAUUUUACAAGACACAGCGCACUCUGAGCGCAGAGCUCCUCCCGGUCUAUCCUGCUUGCGGUGACCAAGCUGCCGCUUCGCGGGUUCAGAGCAAAGAGCUGCGUCCUACCUCUAGAGAUGAUGCGGACUCCACGCUCCGCCAGCUCCCAGGGCUCCAAUCCCAGGUUCUUGGAGAUGUUGCCCACAAAGGAACCUUUGUCCAUUUCCUCUUGCACUGAGUAGUGGAUCUGCCCAGAUCCAGUCUUGCAUAGCGUCCACAGAAGCACAAACAGCAGGGCCAAUCCUCUGCAGUGUCUGAAUCUCAGGUAUUUAGUCAUUUCUUCUUUGGUGAAUUAUUUUCUGUGAAUUCCGUUCCAACUACCCACGACGGACUCAAAUCAUAUUUGUUUUCAAGGAACUAAGCUUUUAAUGGUCCUAUUUUAUGGGUCACAGAGCUGGUUGACUAACAGGAUGAGCUUUGUAGCAGCUCGGAUCUUCUGGGGUCUGAUUGACUGGUUCUUUGCUUUUUAGGAACAAGGAAAUGGUGGACAAGCUCGCCAGCCCCGUUUUCCUCCUUGAGUGGUCAGCAGCGACACUCAGAGGCCUAAUGGUUUACUGCACCCUUUCAGAUAAACCCAAGUUAGUGAUUUUUAAGUUUCCCAACACCCGAAAUCUUCUGUAUCAGAGGUAAUGGGAUUGGUGUCUAUUUCACACAGUUCAAUUGUUAUAUGUUAAAGUAUGAUAUAUGUUAAAGUAUGUUCCUUAGGAAGCCAUGCUCUAACCUUAAGACCACUAAUAUUGCUUCAAACAUGCUGGAGUUACUGUUUUGAAAUGUUCAAAGUUUAAAAACCACACAGAAAUAUCAGCUUUAUUUAUAGGUUAUACUCAUUAAAGUUUGUCCUUGAUAGCCUGACAUCUUAGUUUCAAUAUCUGUAAUUGAACCCAUUCAUUAAACAUAAUUGGGUGUUAGACAAUAUGUGAGGAUUCAAGGUAAAUGAUAUGAACAUAACCACUUCCUCCCCAAAGCUAGGUAGAUAUAAAAUCAAACAAGGAAUUCCAGUGCACUGAGAUAAUUACCAUGAUGGAAGAAACCAAAGGCAAUGGGAGGGCCUCCAACCCGGCCCUGGAGGUUAGCAAAGGCUUUCCCAAGAAACAUGAGAAAAGUGGAUCAGGGAAAAGGCCUGGAUAUGAGAGACAACAGUAUGGCAAUUUCUAGAUGUGAGAGAGAAAUCGCACAACUUCAGAGUACUGGAAGUAGUUCACUUUGUCUAAAUCUAGAGUAAAGGUGGUUUUUAAACACCAAAACUGAGGGGUGCCUGGGUGGCGCAGUCGGUUAAGCGUCCGACUUCAGCUCAGGUCACAAUCUCACGGUCCGUGAGUUUGAGCCCCGCGUUGGGCUCUGGGCUGAUGGCUCAGAGCCUGGAGCCUGUUUCCGAUUCUGUGUCUCCCUCUCUCUCUGCCCCUCCCCUGUUCAUGCUCUGUCUCUCUCUGUCUCAAAAAUAAAUAAGUGUUAAAAAAAAAUUUAAACACCAAAACUGAAACUAGUAGAAAUAAACUUUUGUUUUAUGUUCCAGAAACCUUUUCUCUAUAUUUGUUUUCCUCUCCAAACACAGAAAUAGAAAUAUAUUUGUCAUUUCAAUUAUGCAGUGUUAUAAACUUAUCCAUAAGGCAUUUAUUCUUGUGAAAAGAUACUAUACACACUAAAAGAAACUUUGUCUUUAAUUUUCCUCAGUUUAAACUUUAUUACUUAGAAGUAAAGAUGUUAUGAUGUAUUAUUCCACAGUGAGUUCCAGUUUUAGCUCAUAGAGAAUUAUGUAAUAGUAAUAAACACAAGAGACUGCAUUGACUCAGAUCAACUCUCCUCAAAUGCCCUAAAAUAUAAUAAAAAAUCACAGCACCUUGAAAGAUGAUAAUACCAUUAAAUACAAUACUCAGUAUAUGAUUGCUUCCAAAUCACAAUUUAAAGUGAUCCCAGUUACAUAGAAUAUUAGUGUAUUUUUUUGUCCUUCAACAUUAAAAACAUAACUGAAACACUAAAAGCCAACAUAGAAAGAGGAAUGAGGAAGGAACACAGUGGUUGUGAGGGAGACUGAAGUUAGGUGAGGGAUUGGAAAUAUUUUUAACAGUUGCUCUGAGAAGGAAUCUCUGAGAAGAGAGAUGUAUAAGAAGGAUCUUUAAGGGCUAUUAUUUGAUAUAGCCUCUGAAUCCCUUGAGGACAUAUUAUUUUUAAAGAUAAAAAGUAAAUAUGGUUUCCAGAUAUGAGAAAAUAAAAAUAUCAAAGAGAAAUGUGUUUACUAUUGCACUACCCAUUUAUUAUAGAGCAAACAAGAAUUCAAUCACUUCAUCAACCAACACAGAGCUACUUUAAAUACUUUUUUUAAACAUUUAUUCAUUUUUGAGAGACAGAGGGUGAGUUGGGGAGGGGCAGAGAGAGAGGGAGACAGAAUCUGAAGCAGGUUCCAGGCUUUGAGCUGUCAGCACAGAGCCCAUUGCAGGGCUGGAACCUAUGAACUGUGAGAUCAUGGCCUGAGCCAAAGUCAGACACUUAACUGACUGAGCUACCCAGGCGCCCCAACACAGAGCUACUUUAAAAGUCAGUGGGAUUUUUAAUUACGUGGAGAUACCAUGACAUACUUUCCUAAGACACAGUGAACAUAUAUAUUUCUAAAUUUCCAUAUUUUAAAUAGGGAAGGUCAUAUGAAUCAAAUAAAAUGAAGAACCUCACUGUCAAACUGAAGUAAAAAUAUUACAACUGAGUGAAGGCAUUAGACAACUAAAGUGUUUCAUUAUUCAUAGGUUAAAAUAUAAAACAAAACCCUUGAAUUUUAAAGCACUUGAGUAAACAUAAAAUUCAGACUUCCUUUUUUUUUUUUAAAUAAACUCUACCACCGUAUGGAGCUCAAACUCCCCACCCCAAGAUCAAGAGUAGCAUGCUUUGCCGACUGAGCCAGCCAGCCGCCCCUCAAUCUUCAUAUUUUUAAUAGAGAAAGAAUUAUUGAUCCAGGUAGACAAGAAGAUUUGCCCAGGGAAGAGAAAGAAAGUAUGAGAAACCAGAUACACCAUUUCCUAAUGCAAUGCUCUUUGAUAACCUAAAUAUAAUAUUCACCCAAUACUAACUCCUGAUUUAAAUUCAUGAUACAAUGAUUCUAGCCUCCUCUUCCCCCGUAGAAGGUGUAAACACUUAGAACUACUGAGAAAUAAUUCACCAGGACUCAUGUCCUUAAAAGGGAUAUAUUCACAAGUAAAUAUGCAAAACAGAAAACAUGUGGUAAACAAUGGAGGCAGCGGAGUAAAUAAACAUAUCUAUUUAUUUUAGCAAUGCCUCAUAAGUAUACCGUGAAGGGAGUUUACCUUGGAUGUUUCUUCUCCUUUGUCUUCAAGUAAAGACUGAGGUGAUGAUAGAAAAUCCUUUUUCUCACAGCUCUCCUGGCUGAGGAGCAUGUCGGCAUAGUUGGGCUGGGGGAAGAUCACGUGACUCUCCCCGGAGUCCGCGGUGAGGGAGACCUCGUGGGAAUAGGUCUGCAGGAAAGCCCGCACCCCGUCCACGCCCACAAAGUGAGAGGCGGGCACGCCCACCAGCCCGCCUCCUGAAGCCUGGAGCAGACGGGAUGAGUGCCAGCGCCUCAACCUGAGUCCCAGCAGUACGAUGACAAAGGCGAGGAAGACGCAGGAGACAGCAGCCACCGCCACUACCAGGUACAGCGUGAGGUCAGAAUCAUUUGGGUCGGCGGGGGUCCUGGUGCUGCCCAGAUCGGCCAGGACGUCUGGGAUGUUGUCAGCUACCGCCACGGUGAGCGUGACGGUGGCCGAGAGAGGGGGCUGGCCAUGGUCCUGCACCACCACCACCAGGCUCUGCUUGAGCGCAUCUCUGUCCAGCAGGGCCCGUGCAGUGCGCACCUCGCCCGUGUGCAGCCCCACCGUAAAAAGCCCUGGCUCGCUGGCCUUGAGCAGACGGUAGGACAGCCAGGCGUUCUGGCCAGAGUCUCUGUCCACCGCCACCACCUUGGUCACCAGGUAUCCAGGCUCUGCGGAUCGGGGCGCCAGCUCCACGCCUGUGGAACCGUCGGUGGGGAGGGCGGGGUACAGGAUUUCUGGUGCGUUGUCAUUCUGGUCCAGCACGAAUAUACUCAGUGACACGUUGCUGCUGAGGGGUGGGUUCCCAUUGUCCCAUGCAGUCAACCUCAGGUGCAAAUCCUGGAACUGCUCAUAGUCAAAGGAGCGCAAUGCAUACAGGAUGCCAGUGUCAGAGUUGAUGGAGAUGUAAGAGGACAGGGGUGCAUCCUGAAGAGUGUCUUCAGUCAAAGAGUAAGUUACAUGGGCAUUAUCGUCACUGUCAGGGUCAUGGGCCACCACAGAAAUGAUGGAAGCACCCCUGGGAUUGUUUUCAGGAAUGUAGGCAGAGUAGAACGUGUGAGGGAAGGUGGGUGGGUUGUCAUUAAUGUCUGCCACCUGCAGCGUAAUGUAAGCAUCCGUGGACAGAGAUGGUUUUCCUCCAUCUUUAGCAGUCACAGUGACGUUGUAAGAGGAAAACUGUUCCCUGUCAAGGGCUCUGGUUGUAACCAGUCGGUGGUAAUUGUCCACUGAUCUUUCUAACUUGAAAGGAAGGUUCUCUGGGAGUGAACAUGUGAUAAAUGCAUUCUGCCCAGAGUCUCUGUCAUGUACAUUAAAAAGUGCAAUUAUGGUUCCUGGAGGAGAGCCUUCAGGAAUUGAACUGGUAGAAGAUGUCAUAUAAAAUUCUGGAGCAUUGUCAUUCACAUCCAGAACAGUCACAAUAACCUUUGUUCUGGUCCGAAGGCCCGGACCAUCCUGAGCUUCAAUAUCAAUAUCAUGGACUUUGGCAUCUUCAUAAUCUAGACUCUUUAUGAUUGUUAUAUCUCCAGAUGUCGACUCAAGCUCAAAUAUCUCUGAGGUUUCUCCAGGAUUUUUCUCUUGAAUAUAUGCUACUUGGGCAUUGUAUCCCUCAUCUGUGUCAGUGGCGGUGACUGUGAGUAUCCGGGUACCUACGGGAAUACUCUCAGGAACACUUACACGGUACUCAGACUGUGUAAAUAUAGGUGCGUUGUCGUUCACAUCCAGGACAGUCACGUGGAUGCGGGAGGUGCCAGAUCGGACCGGGCUGCCCCCAUCCGAAGCCACAAGGACGAGGUGGUGAACAGCCUUCUCUUCGCGGUCCAGGGCGAGCUCCAGCACCAGCUCAGGGUACUUGUUCCCAUCCACUCCGCUUCGCACAACCAGGGAAAAGUGGUCAUUUGGGUUCAGUUCGUACUUCUGAAGGGUGUUUUCUCCUACGUCUGCAUCGUGCGCACUCUUUAGAGGAAUUCGGAAUCCUGGCGUAGUGGUUUCACUGAUUUUUAGCUCUAGUUCAUCUACUCCAAAGCGAGGGGCAUUAUCGUUAAUAUCUGUUAUUUCCACUUCUACUGAAUAAAUAUUAAAUUUGUCUUCCAGGAGUAUGUUAAAAUUCACCAGGCACUGCGCGCUCUGAGCACAGAGCGCCUCUCGGUCUAUCCUGCCUGCAGUAACCAAACUGCCGCUUCGCGGGUUCAGAGCAAAGAGCUGCGUCCUACCUCUGGAGACGAUGCGGACUCCACGCUCUGCCAGUGUCAGGGGCUCCAGCCCCAGGUCCUUGGCGAUGUCGCCCACGAAGGAGCCUUUGUCAAUCUCUUCUGGCACAGAAUAGUGCAUCUGUCCAGCUCCGGCCUCCCACAAAACCACCAAAAGAAAAUACAGCCGAUGAAGCCUUCCGCGUUGUGAUAACUUUUGCAGAGCCGCCAUUUCUUCUGCUGCAAUCUUUUCUCCCAGGCAACUUCCAGCAUCCAGUUUUAUUCCUCUGUAUUCCUCAGGGUCUGUGGGGAUCAGCAUUCACAGGACCCAGGUCACUGUAGAGAGAAAUUUGGGCUGCUGCAUUUUUUUUUUUUUUCGCCCGGAAGCUUGGGGGCCAAAUACCCAGUCCUUUUGUUGUGGGAGCCGGAAUGUUGGACUAGAUGUGUUGCAGCCUUUUACUUCUUAGGUGGUCAACAGCGACGCUCAGAGGCCUAAGUAAUUUCUGCACCCUCUUAGGCAAACCCAAGUUAUUUCUUGCUUGUUAGCUUUGUGACUUUCAAGUUGCUUUGAAGAAUCUUAGAGUUUUA
This 8344-nucleotide long non-coding RNA is filed under the name Lynx pardinus (Iberian lynx). Lineage: Eukaryota; Metazoa; Chordata; Mammalia; Carnivora; Felidae. The record is from RNAcentral.